Molecule: long non-coding RNA, 2080 nt
Organism: Zonotrichia albicollis (white-throated sparrow)
Lineage: Eukaryota; Metazoa; Chordata; Aves; Passeriformes; Passerellidae
Source: Ensembl
AUGGAUGCAGGGACACACGGACAUUGGCCAUAUGGACAUGGGGACAAACGGACACAUGGACAUAGAGGCACAAGGACAUGGGGACAUUGGCGAUGUAGACAUUGGUACACAUGGACACACGGACAUGGGGAACACGGACAUUAGGACAUUGGCCAUAUGGACAUGGGGACAGACAGACAUGGGGACACAGGGACACAGACACAUGGACAUUGGGACACAUGGACACAGACAUGGAGACAGAAGGACAUUGGGACAUGGGGCCAUCUGGACAUGGGGACACUGGCUUUAUGGACAUGGGGACACACAGACAUGGGGACACACGGACAUGGGGACACAUGGAUGCAGGGACAUACGGACAUUGGCCAUAUAGACAUGGGGACACAGGGACAUGAGGACAAACGGACAUGGGGACGCACAGACAUGGGGACAGACGGACAUGGGGACAUUGGCUUUAUGGACAUGGGGACACACGGACAUGGGGACACACGGACAUCGGGACAUGGGGACACAUGGAUGCGGGGAUACAUGGACAUUGGCCAUAUGGACAUGGAGACACACGGACACAUGGACAUAAUGGACAUUGGGACACAGCGACAGACAGACACAUGGACACAUGGCCAUGGGGACACAGGGACAUGGGGACAUGGGCCCUAUGGACAUUGGGACACAUGGACACACAGACAAGGGGACACAUAGACAUGGGGACAGAUGGACAUGGAUGGACACAGGGACAGGGACACACGGGGGGGACGGACGGACAGACGGACACGGGACAGACAGAUGGACACGGAUGGACACAGGGACAGGGACACACGGCGGGACGGACGGACAGAUGGACACAGACGGACACGGAUGGACAUGGGGACAAUGGACAGGGGACACACAGGGGACUGACAGACAUGGGACAGACAGAUGGACACGGAUGGACAGGGGACACACGGGGGAUGGACAGAUGGACAUGGAUGGACAGGGGACAGACGGGGACUGAUGGACAUGGGACAGACAGAUGGACACAGGGACACGUGGGGGGACGGACGGACAGACGGACACGGAUGGACACAGGGACACACGAGGGUCGGACAGAUGGACACGGAUGGACACAGGGACAGGGGACGGACAGAUGGACACGGAUGGACACAGGGACAGGGGACGGACAGAUGGACAUGGAUGGACACAGGGACAGGGGACAGACAGAUGGACAGGGGACAGACGGGACAACGGACAGGGGGACAGAUGGAUGGGGGGACAACGGGGGGACAGACGGACACACGGGUCUGUGCGUGAGGGGGACACGGAGAUGGACAGAGAGGACAGAGAGGGGACAAUGGACAGAGGGACACAGGGAUGGACAGGGGACAGGCAGGGGACAAUGGACGGGGGGGAUAGAGGGGGGGACAGACGGACAGUAGGGACAGAAGGACAGCGGGGGCAGGGGACAGAGGGAUGAUUGACAGGGGGACAGACAGACAGAGGGGACACCGAGGGACAGAUGGACGUAGUUACACUGAGGGACAGACGGACGUGGGGACAGCGGGCAGGAGGUGACAGAGGGGAGGGGACAGAUGGCUACGAGUCACUGUGGCAGGACGGACAGACGGACAGGGAUGGACAAUGGGGGGCACAGACAGACGGACAGAGCGGGGCACGGACAGACAGGGAUGGACAGAUGGACAGGGAUGGACAGUGGUGGGGACAGAUGGAUUGGGGGGAGGGUUGGAUGGCAGACAGACAGACAGACAUGGGGGGGGGAUGGAUGGAUGGAUGGACACGGGGAGGACAUGGACAGACAGACACAGGGAGGACAUGGACAGACGGACACAGGGAGGACAUGGACAGACAGACAUGGCAGGGGAUACAGAUGGACGGACGGACACAUGGGGGAACAUGGAUGGACAGACAGACACGGCGAGACAUGGAUGGACAGACAGACGGGGGGGAAUGGACAGACGGACAUGGGGAGGGGACAUGGAUGGACAGAUGGACACAGGGGGACAUGGAUGGACAGACGGACACGGCGGUGGGGGGAUGACACAGACAGACACAGGAGGCGGGACACGGACGGACAGACAGACACGGACAG